RNAcentral lists this ribosomal RNA (327 nucleotides) under uncultured eukaryote. RNAcentral's name for it is "partial 18S ribosomal RNA". It matches the Rfam family "Eukaryotic small subunit ribosomal RNA", at positions 1470 to 1796 of the family's 1831-position model. The record is from RNAcentral.
CCCUUAGAUGUUCUGGGCCGCACACGCGCUACACUGAAGGAGGCAGCGUGUACUCCUGGAUCGAAAGAUUUGGGUAACCCGCGAAUCUCCUUCGUGCUAGGGAUUGAGGUUUGCAAUUAUCCUUCAUGAACGAGGAAUUCCCAGUAAGUGCAAGUCAUAAGCUUGCGCUGUCUACGUCCCUGCCCUUUGUACACACCGCCCGUCGCUACUACCGAUUGAAUGAUUUAGUGAGGACUUCGGACUGGGACCGAUGCGGCUUUCGGGCUGCGUCGGUAUUCUGGAAAGAUGUCCAAACUGUAUCAUUUAGAGGAAGUAAAAGUCGUAACA